Molecule: non-coding RNA, 146 nt
Organism: Pelobates cultripes (western spadefoot toad)
Lineage: Eukaryota; Metazoa; Chordata; Amphibia; Anura; Pelobatidae
Source: the annotation of a GenBank genome assembly
GCAUUACACACACACACUACAUUCACUAAACACACUCUGCAUUACACACACACACUACAUUCACUAAACACAGAGUGUGUCUAGUGAAUGUAGUGUGUGUGUGUAAUGCAGAGUGUGUUUAGUGAAUGUAGUGUGCGUGUGUAAUG